UAUCGGCUUAAGAUGAGCCCGCGUUGGAUUAGCUUGUUGGUGGGGUAAAGGCCUACCAAGGCGACGAUCCAUAGCUGGUCUGAGAGGAUGAUCAGCCACACUGGGACUGAGACACGGCCCAGACUCCUACGGGAGGCAGCAGUGGGGAAUAUUGGACAAUGGGCGCAAGCCUGAUCCAGCCAUGCCGCGUGAGUGAAGAAGGCCUUAGGGUUGUAAAGCUCUUUCACCGGUGAAGAUAAUGACGGUAGCCGGAGAAGAAGCCCCGGCUAACUUCGUGCCAGCAGCCGCGGUAAUACGAAGGGGGCUAGCGUUGUUCGGAUUUACUGGGCGUAAAGCGCGCGUAGGCGGAUAGAUAAGUCAGAGGUGAAAUCCCGGGGCUCAACCCCGGAAUUGCCUUUGAUACUGUUUAUCUUGAGUGCAGAAGAGGUAAGUGGAAUUCCGAGUGUAGAGGUGAAA
Molecule: ribosomal RNA, 456 nt
Filed under: uncultured Hyphomicrobiales bacterium
Lineage: Bacteria; Pseudomonadati; Pseudomonadota; Alphaproteobacteria; Hyphomicrobiales
Description: bacterial SSU rRNA
Rfam family: Bacterial small subunit ribosomal RNA
Source: RNAcentral